Molecule: long non-coding RNA, 2759 nt
Organism: Balaenoptera musculus (blue whale)
Lineage: Eukaryota; Metazoa; Chordata; Mammalia; Artiodactyla; Balaenopteridae
Exons: 2
Source: RefSeq, a predicted model, not a curated record
CCCUCCAGCGCGCAGGACGGCGAGGAGCGAAGGCAGGUUCCUGAGCGCGGCCGGCGGGGCCUCCGGAAGCCAGGCUGCCCCACGGCUCCCCCAGGAGCUGAGGCGGGGCCGGUAACGGCACCGAUGCGUCCCCGCGGGGCACCGGCGCUUUGCAAGCCUGCUCUUACACGUGAUCUCAAUCGACUCCCAAGAGGGUUGUGACGUUUUUGCCCCUUUUUCUACGAGACCUGAGUCUCGGGGCAGGUAUCUAACCUUCCUGGAGAGUGACCUCCCUGGGCGACAAACACCGCUAUGAGCCAGUCGUGGUCACGCAUGCUCAAUGUCAGUGGGCUGGCUUAGGGGCGGGCAGUUCUGGCCAACGAGUCACGAGCUGAGGGAUCUUGGAGGGCUUCUGGAAAACGGUUUCCUCAUUCUUUAGAAGAAAACAUGGGAGAGAUGCCCCCGUUCUCUCAUGGAUAUUGUUAUAUGUGAAUGUGAUGCCCUGAACUGCAGCAACCAUGAGAGUCGGCAGUCUGAGGGCGAGCUAACAUGUUUACAAGGGCAAAGCAAAAAGAUGGGAAGAAUCUGGGCCCUCUAUGAGGUUAGAGUUGCUGAAUCCAUCAAGCCCUGGGCCUCACCCACUCAGGUACUGAUCUGAGGGAAGACAAUAAAUGUUUCUAGUGAUUUAAUUUCAGCCUAAAGCAACCUAACUCAUAUAGCCAGGGACCAUGUUGACACACAGUUUUACUCCGCCCAGGACCUCACAACUGUUCUUGGCCGCCAUGAGCAAAGGACGAGUGGAAGUUGGAAAUGAAUGGGCUGGGUAGGAGAAUCACGAAUGUUCCAGGUUAGCGUAGGUCCAAUUCUUCAUUCAUCACUCACUCUCUCAGCUGGAGUAUCUUUUCCUGAGACCUGUGGCUCUCUCCCAAAUGCUUAUCUCUCGUCUGAACCUACUACCUAAACAUGGGAGGUCGUUUCAGAGCCAGAUGGGGUUUGAUUAUUUCCUUGAUGAUAUCCAUUAUUUCCCUUCUGGGUAGAAGGAGGGUCUGCAGACAGCUGAUCUUUUUGGGGCAGAGAGUAUGGAGGUGGGGUCUCUUAUAGAACACGAAAUACAAGGAAGUGUUCUUUGGGCUGGAAGUAUCAAAAGAUUGCUUAGAAUUUACAGUUAUAGGGGUUUAACGGUGUGUCAGCCUGUAUACUGGUUUUGUGUCAUAUCUGAGCCAGAACUAGUAGCAGAGAUUCAAAGCAAUAUAGGUGGCAAGUACACCUGAGAGCGAAGCACGGGGAGAGAAGGGUAGCAGAGCGCGGGGCUGCCCCCCACCUCUCCGGGAGAGCAGCCUGGCCCUGGUGGUGGGAGGUGGCGGAGCAGCGCAGUGUCAGGUGGGACCCCCCGCAAUCCCCCACCCCGCAGACACUUACCACAGGGAGAGAUGCUGAGCGGCUUCUCCUGUGAGUGCCCAGGGUGGGAGAGGCUCUGAGAACUCUGGAGCCAUACAGUGACUGUAGCAAUCAACUUUUAAGGCAGAAGGAACCAAGUGACAUGACCUUGUUCAUCCCCUUGCCUUUAGGCACCAACAGUACCGCUAAAGCCCCGUUACCUCAGAACAUGUUUGAUAGUUAAAAGCCUUCCGGGGUGGGGUGCGGGGAAGCAGAAAGAUUUCACAGCUUUCUCCCAUGAGCCGUUUUAAUCUAAGAGAACCUUGAAGCUUGUCCUAGACCCAUCCUGUUCUCGCCAGUCCAACCCCAAGACCCUCCUCCAAGUUGGAGGGUCCCAGUUCAGUGGCAGCAGGCGCUCCCCAGCAAGUGCAAGCUAAAGGGACGAGGGUGAGCGACCCCCGCCCCCCCCCCACCCCGGCGCGAGACCUACGUGCAGCGCCUGCCUCCUGGCUGUCUGUCCCUCCUUUCCUUCCACCAAUUUCUACGAAUUGUCCGUCUUUCUAAUGGACGCCAUGCCUUUGCUUUCACCACUGGUGCUCUUCAAGACUAAUUAGAUCCUGAAGGAACAGGAAGUAAAAAGCUGUUUCUGGGUAAGUUGCUAAUGUUCUUGGUUUAGAGUUAAAGUUCCCUGCCAGAGACUUGCAGAGAGAGAACCCUCACUCCUCUGGGCAUUCUCAGACAAGGAGGAAGUGCUUCCCUUCCCUUGGGCAGCUCUGGGCUGAAUAUGCAACUUGCCAUGCAACUGGGUUGAAGAAAGACAGAGAAGGCCACAAAGGUCAAAACUCACUUGCUCUUGGGGAGGGGGUUAGAAAGCUAGUAAAGAAAACCUGCGGUGCAGCUGUCUUUCAGGAGAGGGUAUGGAGGGUGGGACGGAUCUACCAGAAGUGUUGUCGGUCUGCGCUGAGGUCUUUGGGACAGGAAGAGUGCAGCCACCCAGGGAGAAAGCCUGCAGUGACACCCUCUGCGGGGCCGGUGUGCUGGAAGGAGUGCCUUGAGAAAGGUUUCCCUCCCUCUUGUGGGGCUGUUGGGAAGCUAGGUAGGACCAGGGGUCUGGCUUUCAAGAGUGGCGCCGAAUGAAUUUUUAGUUUCCUGGUGGGAACAGAGAACUCAGAAGAUUGUCUUCUCCUCUAGGAAGAUCUGGCCGUGGUUUUUCUCCUUGUCUCCCGAGAGCGUGCGCUGGUGGGUGAGGCACACGUGUGCACAGGGCCAGGCUGUCGGCAAACCACCUUAGCGAGGAGGGCAAAGGAGAGGCAAAAGGGGCUCAUUCCUCUACCUCACAGCUUCCUUUUCCAAAGGAAGCAGGAUCCACCCACCAGCAACAGUCCAAACACCACCAAAGAGGC